UGCAGUCGAGCGGCAGCACAGAGGAGCUUGCUCCUUGGGUGGCGAGUGGCGGAAGGGUGACGAAUACAUCGGACUCUACUUUGUCGUGGGGGAUUACGUAGGGAAGCUUACGCUAAUACCGCACACCACCUACAGGUGAAAGCAGGGGACCUUCGGGCCUUGCGCGAUUGAAUGAGCCGAUGUCGGAUUAUCUAGUUGGCGGGGUAAAGGCCCACCACGGCCACUAUCCGUACCUAGUCUGAGAGGAUGAUCAGCCACACUGGAACUGAGACACGGUCCAGACUCCUACCGGAGGCAGCAGUGGGGAAUAUUGGACAAUGGGCCCAAGCCUGAUCCACCCAUACCGCGUGGGUGAAGAAGGCCUUCGGGUUGUAAAGCCCUUUUGUUGAGGAAAAAAUCCAACUGGCUAAUACCCGGUUGGGAUGACUGUCCCCAAAGAAUAAGCACCGGCCAACUUCGUGCCACCAGCUGCGGUAAUACGAAGGGUGCUAGCGUUACUCGGAAUUACUGGGCGUAAAGCGUGCGUACGUGGUCAUUUAAAUCCGUUGUGAAAGCCCUGAGCUCAACCUGUGAACUGCAGUGGAUACUGGGCGACUAGAGUGUGGAUAGGGUAACAGAAUUUCCUGGUGUGCAUUGAAAUGCGUAAAGAUCAAGAGAACAUGCGUAGCCAAGCUGCUACCUGACCUACAGUGAACUGAGCACGAAAGCGUGGAGAGCAGACAAGAUACAUGCCUGGUAGUCACGACCUAACGAUCAACUGGAUGUCGAUGCAAAUUGGCUGCACUAUCGUAGCUGACGCGAUACGUCGCGGCAGGGGGAGU
RNAcentral lists this ribosomal RNA (821 nucleotides) under uncultured bacterium. RNAcentral's name for it is "bacterial SSU rRNA". It matches the Rfam family "Bacterial small subunit ribosomal RNA", at positions 56 to 881 of the family's 1533-position model. The record is from RNAcentral.